GACGAACGCUGGCGGCGUGCUUAACACAUGCAAGUCGAACGGAAAGGCCCUGCUUUGGUGGGGUGCUCGAUUGGCGAACGGGUGAGUAACACUGGAGUAACCUGCCCUUGACUUUGGGAUAACUUCAGGAAACGGGGGCUAAUACGGGAUAGGAGCUCCCGCUUCAUGGUGGGGGUGGGAAAGUUUCGGCGGUUGGGGAUGGACUCGCGGCUUAUCAGCUUGUUGGUGGGGUAGUGGCUUACCAAGGCUUUGACGGGUAGCCGGGCUGAGAGGAUGACCGGCUCAAUCGGGCUUGGGCUGAGGCCCAGCCUAGUCCGGGAGGCAGCAGUGGGGAAUGUUGCCUAAUGGGCGGAAGGCUGACGCAGCACCGCCACGUGCGGGAUAACGGCCUUCGGGUUGUAUACCAAUUUCCCUUGUCCCGAAGCGUGAGUGACGGUAAUGGGUAAAGAAGCCCCGGCUAACUACGUG
This 468-nucleotide ribosomal RNA is filed under the name uncultured bacterium. Its description in RNAcentral is "partial 16S ribosomal RNA". It matches the Rfam family "Bacterial small subunit ribosomal RNA", at positions 28 to 507 of the family's 1533-position model. The record is from RNAcentral.